AGAGUUGUAUCCUGGCUCAGAACGAACGCUGGCGGCAUGCCUAACACAUGCAAGUCGAACGAGAAAGCACUUCGGUGUGAGUAGAGUGGCGCACGGGUGAGUAACACGUAGGUGACCUGCCAUACAGUGGGGGAUAACCGGAAGAAAUUCCGGCUAAUACCGCAUACGUAGAGCAAUUUUGAAAGUAGCUCUAGAAAGGAUGCUUCGGCAUUCGCUGAAUGAUGGGCCUGCGUAGCAUUAGUUUGAUGGUGGGGUAACGGCCUACCAUGACUACGAUGCUUAGCUGGUCUGAGAGGAUGAUCAGCCACACUGGAACUGAGACACGGUCCAGACUCCUACGGGAGGCAGCAGUGGGGAAUAUUGCGCAAUGGGGGAAACCCUGACGCAGCAAUGCCGCGUGAGUGAGGAAGGGUUUCGGCUCGUAAAGCUCUGUCAGAUGGGAAUAAUGGUUAGUGGUCUAAUAGGCCAUUGAUUUGAAGGUACCUUCAAAGGAAGCACCGGCUAACUUCGUGCCAGCAGCCGCGGUAAUACGAAGGGUGCAAGCGUUGUUCGGAUUUAUUGGGCGUAAAGCGCGCGCAGGCGGACGGCUAAGUCAGAUGUGAAAUCUCGGGGCUCAGCCCCGAAACUGCGUCUGAAACUGGUCGUCUAGAAUCUCGGAGAGGAAAGGGGAAUUUCGCAU
This 679-nucleotide ribosomal RNA is filed under the name uncultured delta proteobacterium. RNAcentral describes it as "bacterial SSU rRNA". It matches the Rfam family "Bacterial small subunit ribosomal RNA", at positions 8 to 674 of the family's 1533-position model. Lineage: Bacteria; Deltaproteobacteria. The record is from RNAcentral.